This 23-nucleotide non-coding RNA is filed under the name Arabidopsis thaliana (thale cress). The record is from RNAcentral. Lineage: Eukaryota; Viridiplantae; Streptophyta; Magnoliopsida; Brassicales; Brassicaceae.
UGGGAAGUCUGUCAGUUGGGCUU